Molecule: long non-coding RNA, 1039 nt
Filed under: Suricata suricatta (meerkat)
Lineage: Eukaryota; Metazoa; Chordata; Mammalia; Carnivora; Herpestidae
Description: lncRNA (ENSSSUG00005001223.1)
Source: RNAcentral
AUUUUGUACGGAACAUUAACACCCGACAAGUCACUUCUCACCCUGCAGAAGGUCACUCAUUCCCACCUGAGCCCUGAGCAGCUCUCUCUGACUCGGGCUCCAGAACGUCCACAAUCCAAAAACCAGAAGGAAACUUCAUUAAUUUCUAAUUUCGACUUUCAAAGCGAUGGCCAGGGCGAGUAGUUUUGAGUUCUCAAACUCCUAGAUUCUGUUCUAUGAGGUACUAUGCGGCCCUGAAUAAAUUAUAACACCAAACUGUGGCCCUUCUCUCAAAUGCAAAACCCUUUCUUCUUUGCCCGCAAUUUCGGAAGCCCUGAGGCCACAUCUCGAGCCCCAGGCGAGCAUCCCAAGGCUUUUUUGUCGCUGGCGGUGCCCCCGCUGCAGAAGUUCCAAGUAGAAAAGACCACGCCGGGCGCCGUAAAGGAGGGGUUGGGCCCCUACCUGGCCUAGGGCAGAGAAGCCACGCCCCGGAAGUAGCCUUCUCGGGUCCUUCGGCCCGCGAGCUCAGCUUCCUCUGGCAGUGUCAGCGUCCGGGCCUCGGCGGACCUCGUUCAGGGCUCCGAAAAGGUGCCUGGCCGAAGCGAGACUCGGAGCGGUCCGGCUGGCGCGCCUACAAGCCCAGGGACUUUACCUGUCUGGAAUGAGGAUGCCGGAAGAGCAGAGAAAUCCAUCGGAGGGCGGAAGAGAGCGCCGCGCUCCAUGGCCUACCCACGUAAAGCUGCGGUGUACCCCUGCGCGCCCCCUGCACCCCCGCAGUCCCCCGGGUGUUCUGGCUCCCGGAGAGAAAAGGCUCAAGUAUAACUAUUAACGGUGUAGGCACCAUCUGUGUGUGCCUCUUCCGGCACCGCUGCUGCAGAAUCCCACAGAGGAGGCAUGUGAACAAGGCUCCUUUCAGAUUCUCCCAUCACCAAAUAAACUGAUUAUCUCUAUCUCAACUCCAAAGACUGAAACUUAAGGACAAGGAAAUCCACGUAAGUGUGCCCUCGGACUGUAUAAUUUAUUAAAACACAUUUUCUGCCCUCUCUACACCCGGCUAGAG